This 729-nucleotide ribosomal RNA is filed under the name Rhizobacter profundi. Its description in RNAcentral is "bacterial SSU rRNA". It matches the Rfam family "Bacterial small subunit ribosomal RNA", at positions 61 to 784 of the family's 1533-position model. The record is from RNAcentral. Lineage: Bacteria; Pseudomonadati; Pseudomonadota; Betaproteobacteria; Burkholderiales; Sphaerotilaceae.
GUCGAACGGCAGCACGGGAGCAAUCCUGGUGGCGAGUGGCGAACGGGUGAGUAAUACAUCGGAACGUGCCCAGUAGUGGGGGAUAGCCCGGCGAAAGCCGGAUUAAUACCGCAUACGACCUACGGGUGAAAGCGGGGGAUCGCAAGACCUCGCGCUAUUGGAGCGGCCGAUGUCAGAUUAGCUAGUUGGUGGGGUAAAAGCCUACCAAGGCGACGAUCUGUAGCUGGUCUGAGAGGACGACCAGCCACACUGGGACUGAGACACGGCCCAGACUCCUACGGGAGGCAGCAGUGGGGAAUUUUGGACAAUGGGCGCAAGCCUGAUCCAGCCAUGCCGCGUGUGGGAAGAAGGCCUUCGGGUUGUAAACCACUUUUGUCAGGGAAGAAACGGCUUGAUCUAAUAAAUCGAGCUAAUGACGGUACCUGAAGAAUAAGCACCGGCUAACUACGUGCCAGCAGCCGCGGUAAUACGUAGGGUGCAAGCGUUAAUCGGAAUUACUGGGCGUAAAGCGUGCGCAGGCGGCUAUGCAAGACAGAUGUGAAAUCCCCGGGCUCAACCUGGGAACUGCAUUUGUGACUGCAUGGCUAGAGUACGGUAGAGGGGGAUGGAAUUCCGCGUGUAGCAGUGAAAUGCGUAGAUAUGCGGAGGAGCACCGAUGGCGAAGGCAAUCCCCGUGGACCUGUACUGACGCUCAUGCACGAAAGCGUGGGGAGCACACAGGAUUAGAUA